GUGCUCAUGUUGGCAGCACAUUUACUAAAACUGGAAUGACAGCAGAUCAAGAAGGCCCAGCUGCAGGGAUGACUUGAAGAUCUGUAAAGUGUUCCACACUUAA
RNAcentral lists this small nuclear RNA (103 nucleotides) under Microtus ochrogaster (prairie vole). Lineage: Eukaryota; Metazoa; Chordata; Mammalia; Rodentia; Cricetidae. The record is from RNAcentral.